Molecule: ribosomal RNA, 259 nt
Filed under: uncultured bacterium
Lineage: Bacteria
Description: partial 16S ribosomal RNA
Rfam family: Bacterial small subunit ribosomal RNA
Source: RNAcentral
CAGAGGGUGCAAGCGUUAAUCGGAAUUACUGGGCGUAAAGCGCGCGUAGGUGGUUCGUUAAGUUGAAUGUGAAAGCCCCGGGCGUCAACCUGGGAACGUGCAUACCAAACUAGGCGAGCUAGAGUAGGGCGAGAGGGUGGUGGAAUUUCCUGUGUAGCGGUGAAAUGCGUAGAUAUAGGAAGGAACACCAGUGGCGAAGGCGACCACCUGGGCUCAUACUGACACUGAGGUGCGAAAGCGUGGGGGAGCAAACAGGAUU